RNAcentral lists this ribosomal RNA (432 nucleotides) under uncultured bacterium. RNAcentral's name for it is "partial 16S ribosomal RNA". It matches the Rfam family "Bacterial small subunit ribosomal RNA", at positions 29 to 507 of the family's 1533-position model. The record is from RNAcentral.
ACGCACGCUGGCGGCAUGCCUCACCUAUGCAAGUCGAACGAGACCUUCGGGUCUAGUGGCGCACGGGUGCGUAACGCGUGGGAACCUGCCCUUAGGUUCGGAAUAACUCCCCGAAAGGGGUGCUAAUACCGGAUAAUGUCUUCGGACCAAAGAUUUAUCGCCUUUGGAUGGGCCCGCGUUGGAUUAGCUAGUUGGUAGGGUAAAAGCCUACCAAGGCGACGAUCCAUAGCUGGUCUGAGAGGAUGAUCAGCCACACUGGGACUGAGACACGGCCCAGACUCCUACGGGAGGCAGCAGUGGGGAAUAUUGGACAAUGGGCGAAAGCCUGAUCCAGCAAUGCCGCGUGAGUGAUGAAGGCCUUAGGGUUGUAAAGCUCUUUUACCCGGGAUGAUAAUGACAGUACCGGGAGAAUAAGCUCCGGCUAACUCCGUG